Macaca mulatta (Rhesus monkey) is the source of this 2024-nucleotide long non-coding RNA. The record is from Ensembl. Lineage: Eukaryota; Metazoa; Chordata; Mammalia; Primates; Cercopithecidae.
CUUGUAUUUUGCACGCUUUUGUCUUAUUUUCUAGUGAUUCAUGUUACCGUAUUUUACAAAAUGACUGGUCUGCAAAGGACUUGAAACAGAAAUCCAACACUAGCUCAUCACCACAGGGAGUUUGGAAGCCAUGCCCCAAUCAUACUUCCUUCCUCAAAUAAGGGGAUUGGCAAAGCCCAGCCUGGGGCUGGCCCUCACCCUUAUGGCAGCUUCUGUGGCAGGAAGUGUCUGCUGAUCUCUCACCUAAUAUUACUGUACCAUUUACAUGUUUGCUGCCAUAUUGUUAUGUUCUCCCUCCCUCCCUCUCUCCUCUCUCUCUCUCUCUCUCUCUCUCUCUCUCUGUCAGCUAAACCCAUGAGGACAGGCAUCUCAUCUGUCUUCUCCAGGAAAGCACCUGGGACCACGUGCCUGUGGUCCCAGCUAUUUGGGAGGCUGAGGUGACAGAGGAAGAAAGGAGAAAUUGUAUCUUCAAUAGAAAAAAUACCAUACAGAUUCUCCUCCCGGGGGUCUCCUUAUUGUCCAGAAGUCCACUAACUACCUGCACUGCCACCUGCCUUGCUCUGAACAGCAGCCCGUAGCCCAGGCCUUUGCACCCUUGUCUAUCUCAAGCACGGAAAGAGAAUGUAGGGAAUGGGAAGCCCUCACCCCUGCAUGUGUUGCUCGGCCUAAUCUUCCAUGUUUUCCUCCUUGCGCUUUUCUUCCUCUGGGGCAAGGAGAAAGAACAGAGAGCACGAUUCCUCCUUCAUCCAGUUUGUGGGGAGGGAGUGGGAAGAAGUCUAAUGACGGAGGCCAGAACAAACCCAUGCUCACAGCUGCUUUCAGCCUCCACGUAUCUACGCCUACAACACCUCCUCACAGGGCCCAGUGGUCAGUGUUCUCAGUGCCCGUCCCGAAACCACACCUGGCCCCAGGCCUACGGCAUGGUGCUACCUAACAGCCUAGGUAAGGCCCCGGAGCACUGCCAAGCAGGAGGCAGCCUGUACAGACCCAGCGUGUGCAGGUUCCGAAGUGCAGGCCACGGUGCAGCUAGGAGUGCAGAUGAACGCCCUCGGCUGCCUGAAGCUCACGGUGCAGCGGAGGAGGGAACUGGCUGCGCAGGUGCUGGAAGUGCUGGUAAGGCAGCUGGAGAGAGGAAAUUCAAAAAUAUGGCCUUCCCGAAAUAUUUGCUGCUAGAAAAACGUAAAAGCCCUCAAGCGCCUCUACCAAGGGGAAAUGAGAACAGUCAACAUCCUUCCGUCCCUCCAGAAAGGUCAUCAGCUUCAGGCCCACGGGCAUCCAGCGGUCUGCGAACCACUUCGCACCGAGGUGCGGGCUCUGAAACGCACUCAGCGAAGACGACCCUGAGUCCUAGGCAGCAAGACGGCGGUUAACUUGAGCCCCAGAUCUUCCUGCACGAAACUAGCUGAGAGAAACAGCCAACUCGAGUCCUCAGAACACACUGGGAGGGCACCAGGCUGUGUAGACCACCCACUCGGUGCCCACUGCGCCCCCACUUCCGUGGAGGCAGGCGUGUUUACUGGAAGUGUAACACGUUUUUGUUGGGGAGAUUGAGCGCUUUUGAAUGAUUUUCAUUAGAGUAUAAAGUAUCUUGAUUAAAACAUUUCCUUAAAAUGCUUUCAUGCUGUGUCUUCUUGUUAAAAACAAAACAAAACAAACAAACAAAAAAAUAUAAGGUCUGAGGAUCCACAAGGACAAGGAUGCUGUUUGUUUAUCAAACGCUUUCCCCUCCUAAGCAGAAGAAAUGCCAACCCUUCACAAACGCUGUUUUGUUAGGAAUUGAUAUCUGCCAUAUCCUUAUAAGUGGGGAAAGAGAAAAUAUGAUCUUCAUAUGUUUUAUUCUUUAAACUGACAAAUAAUAAUUCCACGUAUUCACGGGGUACAUAGUAGUGUUUCCAUACAUAUAAGAUCUAGUGGUCAGAUCAAGGUAACCCGCAUAUCCAUCAGGUCAAACACUUACCAUUUCUUCGAGUUGGGAACAUUUCAUAUCCUCCUUCUAGCUACUGAAACUGUACAUUAUUGUUAAC